RNAcentral lists this ribosomal RNA (465 nucleotides) under Vreelandella stevensii. RNAcentral describes it as "partial 16S ribosomal RNA". It matches the Rfam family "Bacterial small subunit ribosomal RNA", at positions 338 to 795 of the family's 1533-position model. Lineage: Bacteria; Pseudomonadati; Pseudomonadota; Gammaproteobacteria; Oceanospirillales; Halomonadaceae. The record is from RNAcentral.
CCUACGGGGGGCUGCAGUGGGGAAUAUUGGACAAUGGGGGGAACCCUGAUCCAGCCAUGCCGCGUGUGUGAAGAAGGCCCUCGGGUUGUAAAGCACUUUCAGUGAGGAAGAACGCCUGGUGGUUAAUACCCAUCAGGAAAGACAUCACUCACAGAAGAAGCACCGGCUAACUCCGUGCCGGCAGCCGCGGUAAUACGGAGGGUGCGAGCGUUAAUCGGAAUUACUGGGCGUAAAGCGCGCGUAGGUGGCUUGAUAAGCCGGUUGUGAAAGCCCCGGGCUCAACCUGGGAACGGCAUCCGGAACUGUGAAGCUAGAGUGCAGGAGAGGAAGGUAGAAUUCCCGGUGUAGCGGUGAAAUGCGUAGAGAUCGGGAGGAAUACCAGUGGCGAAGGCGGCCUUCUGGACUGACACUGACACUGAGGUGCGAAAGCGUGGGUAGCAAACAGGAUUAGAUACCCUUGUAGUC